CACUCCUACGGGAGGCAGCAGUGGGGAAUUUUGGACAAUGGGCGAAAGCCUGAUCCAGCAAUGCCGCGUGAGUGAAGAAGGCCUUCGGGUUGUAAAGCUCUUUUGUCAGGGAAGAAACGGUGAGAGCUAAUAUCUUUUGCCAAUGACGGUACCUGAAGAAUAAGCACCGGCUAACUACGUGCCAGCAGCCGCGGUAAUACGUAGGGUGCAAGCGUUAAUCGGAAUUACUGGGCGUAAAGCGUGCGCAGGCGGUUUUGUAAGUCUGAUGUGAAAUCCCCGGGCUCAACCUGGGAAUUGCAUUGGAGACUGCAAGGCUAGAAUCUGGCAGAGGGGGGUAGAAUUCCACGUGUAGCAGUGAAAUGCGUAGAUAUGUGGAGGAACACCGAUGGCGAAGGCAGCCCCCUGGGUCAAGAUUGACGCUCAUGCACGAAAGCGUGGGGAGCAAACAGGAUUAGAUACCCUUGUAGUCCCA
RNAcentral lists this ribosomal RNA (472 nucleotides) under uncultured organism. Its description in RNAcentral is "partial 16S ribosomal RNA". It matches the Rfam family "Bacterial small subunit ribosomal RNA", at positions 334 to 797 of the family's 1533-position model. The record is from RNAcentral.